UACGUAGGUGGCAAGCGUUGUCCGGAAUUACUGGGCGUAAAGAGCGCGUAGGCGGGCGCUUAAGUCAGGGGUGAAAACUGGCAGCUCAACUGCCAGCCUGCCUUUGAGACUGGGCGUCUUGAGGACAGGAGAGGAGAGCGGAAUUCCUAGUGUAGCGGUGAAAUGCGUAGAUAUUAGGAGGAACACCAGUGGCGAAGGCGGCUCUCUGGCCUGUAACUGACGCUGAGGCGCGAAAGCGUGGGGAGCGAACGGG
This 253-nucleotide ribosomal RNA is filed under the name uncultured microorganism. RNAcentral's name for it is "partial 16S ribosomal RNA". It matches the Rfam family "Bacterial small subunit ribosomal RNA", at positions 524 to 776 of the family's 1533-position model. The record is from RNAcentral.